UUCCAGACUCCUACGGGAGGCAGCAGUGGGGAAUAUUGCACAAUGGGGGGAACCCUGAUGCAGCGACGCCGCGUGGGUGAAGGAGCACCUCGGUGCGUAAAGCCCUCUCGGCAGGGAAGAAAAGCGAACAGGUUCGCCUGGACGGUACCUGACUAAGAAGCCCCGGCUAACUACGUGCCAGCAGCCGCGGUAAUACGUAGGGGGCAAGCGUUAUCCGGAUUCACUGGGUGUAAAGGGAGCGUAGACGGCGGCGCAAGUCUGGAGUGAAAGCCCGGGGCCCAACCCCGGGACUGCUCUGGAAACUGUAGAGCUAGAGUGCAGGAGAGGUAAGUGGAAUUCCUAGUGUAGCGGUGAAAUGCGUAGAUAUUAGGAGGAACACCAGUGGCGAAGGCGGCUUACUGGACUGUAACUGACGUUGAGGCUCGAAAGCGUGGGGAGCAAACAGGAUUAGAUACCCCAGUA
Molecule: ribosomal RNA, 462 nt
Filed under: uncultured bacterium
Lineage: Bacteria
Description: partial 16S ribosomal RNA
Rfam family: Bacterial small subunit ribosomal RNA
Source: RNAcentral